UAUUUUGAUGAGGGAUGUUGGUUUCCUGAGGGAAGUUUUUUGGACUGCUCAUUGGUGCUGGAAAGUUGUAAUAUUGAAAUAUACUCUGUAUAGAGCAGUAGUAAUAAAGUUUUUGAUGCAAUCCUUCUUCAGUAUCUUGGCCAACAGAUGGAAUCCCCUUAGAAAAAAUUUAGGAUCCUCUUAUUUUUGGCUGUUUUAUAAUUUUCUGAGAGAACUAUAUACUCUCAGAUCAUUGGGUGAAGGCAGGAUUUUUGAGAAAUGAUUGAGAGUAACUAUCCAUUCAUAUUCUCCAAUACAUUCCUCUAUGCUAUAGACAUCAUUAGAUGUCAUUGCUAUUCUAAUUUAUUGCUACAGGGAUUAGAAACUACAGAUUUACCGUAUUUUCCUGUAUAUAAUCCGCAGCGGCGUAUUAUCCGCA
This 418-nucleotide long non-coding RNA is filed under the name Androctonus crassicauda. Lineage: Eukaryota; Metazoa; Arthropoda; Arachnida; Scorpiones; Buthidae. The record is from RNAcentral.